GAUCCGGGGUACCUGUGUCUGCAUCGUCAUAAGAUGCAGGCCAACUGGCAUCAGUACAUUGAAUGUACGAGUAUGCGAGCUGGGAAGCUAACCACAAUUAAAGCUUGGAAAGAGUACACGAGGACACUUACCUUGGCUCUGUUCAACUCAUGAAUAACUGAACUCAAUAUAUAAAGCAAUAAGACACAUGCGAUAUAUAAAGCUUGUAAAACUCUUAAAACAUGACGUAAAAAUCAUAUUUAUAAUAUCAUGAAAAUAUCAUGCUUCCUCUCAAGGUCUACUUGUGCAAUGCAUGAAUGAAGUCCCAUACCCCCAUCCAUACUAAGCAGAACCCUCGAGGAACCAUGCUCUUUCUACUGUGGGAGCUUCUCUAACCGAC
Molecule: long non-coding RNA, 379 nt
Filed under: Solanum tuberosum (potato)
Lineage: Eukaryota; Viridiplantae; Streptophyta; Magnoliopsida; Solanales; Solanaceae
Description: long non-coding RNA (STUB_LNC001650)
Source: RNAcentral